GAGUGUAAACCCUUUCGACCCGACGAAUGCCCGCAAGGGACUGACGGUACGGGUAUAAGAAGCCCGGCUAACUACGUGCCAGCAGCCGCGGUAAGACGUGGGGGCCAGCGUUGUUCGGAAUUACUGGGUGUAAAGGGUUCGUAGGCGGUGUGGUAAGUCGAUAGUGAAAUCUCUGGGCUUAACCCAGAGGCUGCUAACGAAACUACCAUGCUAGAGUGUGAGAGAGGCGAGUGGAAUUACGGGUGUAGCGGUGAAAUGCGUAGAUAUCCGUAGGAACAUCCGAGGCGAAAGCGGCUCGCUGGAUCACAACUGACGCUGAGGGACGAAAGCUAGGGGAGCAAACAGGAUUAGAUACCCUGGUAGUCCUAGCCCUAAACCAUCAGGACUUGGGGUUUGCCCUGUACGGGGCAAGUCCCGUAGCUAACGCGUUAAGUCCUGCGCCUGGGGAGUACGGUCGCAAGACUGAAACUCAAAGGAAUUGACGGGGGCCCGCACAAGCGGUGGAACAUGUGGUUCAAUUCGACGCAACGCGAAGAACCUUACCUGGGCUUGAACCGCUACUGACCAACGGUAGAAAUAUCGUCUUCCCGCAAGGGACAGUAGUAGAGGUGCUGCAUGGCUGUCGUCAGCUCGUGCCGUGAGGUGUUGGGUUAAGUCCCGCAACGAGCGCAACCCUUACUCGUAGUUGCUACCCGCAAGGGAGAACUCUACGAGGACUGCUCCGGAUAACGGAGAGGAAGGUGGGGAUGACGUCAAGUCAGCACGGCCUUUAUGUCCAGGGCUACACACGUGUUACAAUGCACGGUACAGACUGUUGCGAACCCGCGAGGGGGAGCUAAUCGGAUAAAACCGUCCUCAGUUCGGAUCGCAGGCUGCAACUCGCCUGCGUGAAGCUGGAAUCGCUAGUAAUGGCGUAUCAGAAUGAUGCCGUGAAUACGUUCCCGGGCCUUGUACACACCGCCCGUCACAUCACGAAAGUGGAUUGCACUAGAAGUCCCAAUUAAC
This 1005-nucleotide ribosomal RNA is filed under the name uncultured bacterium. RNAcentral's name for it is "bacterial SSU rRNA". It matches the Rfam family "Bacterial small subunit ribosomal RNA", at positions 421 to 1439 of the family's 1533-position model. The record is from RNAcentral.